GGCGACUAACGGGAUCUGGUGGUCAGGCUAGCUGACUUGUUUGACACAUGUCAGCGGUUCCCAAUUGCGUAGAUCGAUGCUCAUGCUGUUGAUCACUGGAUUGUCUGGCGCAGAGUCGAUUAUUGACAGAACGCCGCCAUACAUCUGGAAUAUUGCUGAGUGCGGCGUAAGACUAAACUCA
Molecule: long non-coding RNA, 181 nt
Organism: Haliotis rubra (blacklip abalone)
Lineage: Eukaryota; Metazoa; Mollusca; Gastropoda; Lepetellida; Haliotidae
Exons: 2
Source: RefSeq, a predicted model, not a curated record